This 378-nucleotide ribosomal RNA is filed under the name uncultured organism. Its description in RNAcentral is "partial 16S ribosomal RNA". It matches the Rfam family "Bacterial small subunit ribosomal RNA", at positions 525 to 896 of the family's 1533-position model. The record is from RNAcentral.
GGGAGGGGUGCAAGCGUUGUUCGGAAUUAGUUGGGCGUAAAGAGCGUGUAGGCGGGUUCGGUAAGUCAGAUGUGAAAGCCCUGGGCUCAACCCAGGAAGUGCAUUUGAAACUACCCAGACUUGAGUACGGGAGAGGACGGGGGGAAUUCCCGGUGUAGAGGUGAAAUUCGUAGAUAUCGGGAGGAAUACCAGUGGCGAAGGCGACCCCUCUGGACCGAUACUGACGCUGAGACGCGAAAGCGUGGGGAGCAAACAGGAUUAGAUACCCUGGUAGUCCACGCCGUAAACGAUGAGCACUAGGUGUAGCGGGUAUUGACCCCUGCUGUGCCGUAGCUAACGCAUUAAGUGCUCCGCCUGGGGACUACGGUCGCAAGACUA